Molecule: ribosomal RNA, 208 nt
Filed under: uncultured bacterium
Lineage: Bacteria
Description: partial 16S ribosomal RNA
Rfam family: Bacterial small subunit ribosomal RNA
Source: RNAcentral
ACUCCUACGGGAGGCAGCAGUCGGGAAUUUUGCGCAAUGGGCGAAAGCCUGACGCAGCAACGCCGCGUGAGGGAUGAAGGCCUUCGGGUUGUAAACCUCUUUUUUCAGGGAAGAUGAUGACGGUACCUGAUGAAUAAGUCACGGCUAACUACGUGCCAGCAGCCGCGGUAAUACGUAGGAGGCGAGCGUUAUCCGGAUUUACUGGGCG